Molecule: ribosomal RNA, 253 nt
Filed under: uncultured bacterium
Lineage: Bacteria
Description: partial 16S ribosomal RNA
Rfam family: Bacterial small subunit ribosomal RNA
Source: RNAcentral
UAUGGAGGGUGCGAGCGUUGUCCGGAAUCACUGGGCGUAAAGGGCGCGUAGGCGGCGCGGAUAGUCGGCGGUGAAAGCCCGGAGCUCAACUCCGGGUCGGCCGUCGAUACUUCCGGGCUUGAGCACUGUAGAGGCAGAUGGAAUUCCAGGUGUAGCGGUGAAAUGCGUAGAUAUCUGGAGGAACACCGGUGGCGAAGGCGGCAUCCUGGACCGGUAUUGACGCUGAUGCGCGAAAGCCAGGGGAGCAAACGGG